AUCCAGCUGAAGAGUCCAAAAUAGGAUGAAAUGUGCAUUUACUGGAU
This 47-nucleotide non-coding RNA is filed under the name Trichobilharzia regenti. The record is from RNAcentral. Lineage: Eukaryota; Metazoa; Platyhelminthes; Trematoda; Strigeidida; Schistosomatidae.